Molecule: ribosomal RNA, 456 nt
Filed under: uncultured Rhodoferax sp.
Lineage: Bacteria; Pseudomonadati; Pseudomonadota; Betaproteobacteria; Burkholderiales; Comamonadaceae
Description: bacterial SSU rRNA
Rfam family: Bacterial small subunit ribosomal RNA
Source: RNAcentral
ACAAGCGGUGGAUGAUGUGGUUUAAUUCGAUGCAACGCGAAAACCUUACCCACCUUUGACAUGUACGGAAUCCUUUAGAGAUAGAGGAGUGCUCGAAAGAGAGCCGUAACACAGGUGCUGCAUGGCUGUCGUCAGCUCGUGUCGUGAGAUGUUGGGUUAAGUCCCGCAACGAGCGCAACCCUUGUCAUUAGUUGCUACAUUCAGUUGGGCACUCUAAUGAGAUUGCCGGUGACAAACCGGAGGAAGGUGGGGAUGACGUCAAGUCCUCAUGGCCCUUAUAGGUGGGGCUACACACGUCAUACAAUGGCUGGUACAAAGGGUUGCCAACCCGCGAGGGGGAGCCAAUCCCAUAAAGCCAGUCGUAGUCCGGAUCGUAGUCUGCAACUCGACUACGUGAAGUCGGAAUCGCUAGUAAUCGUGGAUCAGAAUGUCACGGUGAAUACGUUCCCGGGUCUU